GUCGAUGGACCACGGUAAACACAAAUAAAGUUCUGAUCCAAUGAUUUCACAAUCUGCAGACUCAUUUGACGCCUUAUUCCUGACGACACUGCUGGUUUAAUGGCUUACGUCUGAAGAGGAACCAGGAAAGUGGUCCAAAGUCCUCUUUUAAUUAAGAAUCUUUGUGAAUUUCCUGCAGCUGAUACGACCAGAACAUCACCUCACUGCUCUCUGUUUACUCCUGCGCCUCCCUGUUCAGUGUCCUUGAUUCCUCUGCUCAACAGCAUCCAGCACGCAGCUGCACGACAGGUUUCAAUCUCAACAGCUUCCAGCCCAGGUUUCUGCUCUUAUGAUGUUCUUCCUCCACACCCUGCUCCUCUCUCAGCAUGACCUCAGUGGCCGACUGAACCCUGUUUCUGG
This is a long non-coding RNA of Cynoglossus semilaevis (tongue sole), 399 nucleotides long. RefSeq lists it as uncharacterized. The record is from RefSeq and is a predicted model, not a curated record. The transcript has 4 exons. Lineage: Eukaryota; Metazoa; Chordata; Actinopteri; Pleuronectiformes; Cynoglossidae.